CCUACGGGAGGCAGCAGUGAGGAAUAUUGGUCAAUGGCCGGAAGGCUGAACCAGCCAAGCCGCGUGAAGGACGAAGGUGCCAAGCAUUGUAAACUUCUUUUGUCAAGGGACAAAAUCAGGCUCGAGAGCCUGACCGAGGGUACUUGAAGAAAAAGCAUCGGCUAACUCCGUGCCCGCAGACGCGGUAAUACGGAGUAUGCGAGCGUUAUCCGGAUUUAUUGGGUUUAAAGGGUGCGUAGGCGGACUGUUAAGUCAGAGGUAAAAGCCCGGGGCACAACCCCGGCGAGCCGUUGAAACUGGCGGUCUUGAGAUGUCGAGAGGUAUGCGGAAUGCGCAGUGGAGCGGUGAAAUGCUUAGAUAUUGCGCAGAACUCCGAUUACGAAGGCAGCAUACCGGCGGCGAUCUGACGCUGAGGCACGAAAGCGUGGGUAUCGAACAGGAUUAGAUACCCUGGUAGUC
This 459-nucleotide ribosomal RNA is filed under the name uncultured bacterium. Its description in RNAcentral is "partial 16S ribosomal RNA". It matches the Rfam family "Bacterial small subunit ribosomal RNA", at positions 338 to 795 of the family's 1533-position model. The record is from RNAcentral.